Molecule: long non-coding RNA, 517 nt
Filed under: Homo sapiens (human)
Lineage: Eukaryota; Metazoa; Chordata; Mammalia; Primates; Hominidae
Description: non-protein coding lnc-NQO2-15:1
Source: RNAcentral
GUAUGUUUGCUGAGAUCUGCUUCAAUGUAGUGAAAAUGGUUAUUCUUCUUGCUUUUUUUUUUUUUUUUCUCUUUUUUUCAGUAAAUGUGCUGUUUUUCGGUUUUGUUUCCUGUAUGAGCUGUAACAUUCUUUGUAAAGCUCUGUGGUUUUGUUUUUGAAGGUAUGAAAAUAGAACCAACCCAUUUGUAGAGUUAAACAACUAUCAGGAGCGUAUGGCGUUAUGUAGUUUAUGACACUCACUGAAUGUUUUAGAGCUUUACUCUUGAGCCGAUGAGAUCGCUAAGCCCACCAUGAAAGAAGUAAAGGGAGGACAUACCGCUUUAAAGAACUUGUAACACCACACGGGUCUGUGGCUUCAUUCCCGAAGUCAGUAAGACCAAUGAACCCACCAGCACAGUGUUUUUGGUGAUGGUUGUUUUUAGCAACCUUAACUGUAAAAAUUUCUCGUUUAAAAUCAUGAAUUACGUGUUAAGGUUUCAACGUAUGAAUUUGUGGAGGGGGCUGGGCACAAUUCACU